This 5003-nucleotide long non-coding RNA is filed under the name Sus scrofa (pig). RNAcentral's name for it is "lncRNA (ENSSSCG00005031063.1)". Lineage: Eukaryota; Metazoa; Chordata; Mammalia; Artiodactyla; Suidae. The record is from RNAcentral.
CCUUAGCGGGCUCUAGGUUUUAUUGCUUUUGUGUCUUGUCUAGUUCCAGACAUCCAAUCUGUACUGGCAAAGCUGCCUGAUGAGGAGAGGCCACCAACAUCGCUGCCCUGACUGCUUACAUACCUGCCAUGAAUAAUAGACUUGUCAGCUAGUUAAUCACUGCAUUGUAACUGUCUCUGUUCCUUCUUAGCUGAUCACUUCCCAGAGGAGUUUAAGUUCCAUUGUAACAGGAAACUUCUAUUAUGUUUCCAUACCUGCAUUUAUUUGUAUGCAAAAGCAUUCAUUCUUCUUUUUUCAUAUGACAGUAAAUAAGACAUGCCCCACUUUUUUGACAGUUCUUAAAUUACGUAAUAAACAAUGUAUUCUUUUUUCCUUUGUUUAUCCUGUUCUUCAGCCUCUCAUCAAUUUACUUCUGCAUAUGAGCCAAUUACAUUUUAUUCAUUAGUUAUAAGAUUUGGAAAUACUAACACCUACCUCACAAUCCACAGUUCUGUAAGUUUUUGGUUGAGAUUAUAGUUAUUUGGGGUAAGUAUUGUAAGAGAUCGUCAUAAUUUCCUCAAAAUGUCUAUGAACAAAGGAGAUAGACUGAGGCCCAAAAUAGUCUCUCAAAGGCCUUUGCUUAGUGUUUUGUUCUUUGAUCCUAGAAAUGAGGACAACUGAUUCAACCUUACACAGUUAGGCUCUUUAGUUUCAGGGAGUUAUGAGAUUUUAAACUUGAUGCUUGAAUUAACACUGACAAUAAUCGGCUGAUAAUCUUUGAAGAAUCUUAACCUUACAGAAAAUUAGUGUUAGACUAUCUCUUAUCCAACAGAAAAAAAAAUAAAUAUAAAUUUAUUUUUUAAAGGGCUUAAAAUAUAUACAUUUCCUGUUUUGGUACCUAUAAUUAGACUAUGUCUUCUCUCUAAAUGACUUUUUAGCACCUUUGGAAACUGCAUUCUCUUCUUUAAGCCUAUAGUUAUUUCAUUCUGCAACUGCAAGUAAUUGAGGGCUUACUUGUUUGAAAAUAUUAAUGCAGCUUCCAAAGUUGCUUAAUGCAUAACUAAGUACUGGUAGAAUGUUCAGUUCUUUUAAAUGGAUUCAUUUGCUAUAUGUUUCCUUUGGAAGUUUCUGUUUAUAAUUGAUUAAACUAUGCUCAUGAAACACACUGAUAAAUAGAGCAAUCUAAAGAUACCAAGAAAAGCCAUGAACAUUGUCCAAGAUAUGUAGGGAAUUUGUAUUUCUUGACUAAAUGCUACAUCCAUUCUUCCUCCUUAUCAACCAUUCCUCCAAAUAUCCAGGUUGCUUUUUUGUAUCCUUUAGUGAUGACAAGAUGUUUUUCAUUCCUCUAAUGAAGUGGGAAGCAGAUUAACAUUUUUUCUUCUCAGGAAUUAGAUUACUUAUUGUAGUACUGCUCAAUAUAUCUUUGUAAUACUCACCGACCCCUACCCACAACUAAUUAGUGACUUUCAGAAUUAGGGAAAAUCUAAGUUGUGUGGUGGCUCUAUAUUUAUCAGUGAUCAAGGAAGUGUUACUAAUACACUUGUUGGUGUUAAAAAAGAAUUAAGUAAAUAAAGGGCCAGAUGAUCUCAUUUGUACGAGUAACAUUUGAGUGCAUGUGUUUCCCUGUGCAUCAAAAGCCAACAGUGUUUACAUGUAUCAGAAAAAUCUCUUGGAACAGAAUAUAGUGGCAUCAAAGUAAGUUACCAUGUAAGCACUUUUUUUUUUCUGGUUCAGAAAAGAAUUCUUCUUUGUUCUCUCAGACAAAUCUAUGUUUUUAUUAUUAUAACUCAACUAUUACACUUUAUUAUAAUUGUAUAUCUGUCUCUUCCAAUAGACUCUAUGGCUCAUGAUAUGAGAAACCUUGUUAUGUAGUGUUUGCUAUAUUGCUUGGCCAGAUGAGGAUCUAGUAAAUAUUCUUUUUUUUUAAUAUAAACAUACUCUUUAUUGUAAAUUCCACAAAGCCUUUUGAUUCUCAUAGAAUAUUUUAAUUGACUUUUUAAAAAUUAUUUUAUCUGUAGAGAAUCUUAUUGUUGCAACUGAUAGAUAAAGGCAAUUCCAUCAUGAAUACUGGUUGACAUUUUCUUUGCAUUAAAGAGAAAGAUGAAAGUAAAAAAAUGGGGAUGUAUGGCAGAAAUACAUUCUUUUAUCAAGGACAUGAGAAACGUCAUUGUUGAACCAGAUAAUAAUUUUGAAUAGUUUCAAAAAUAUAUUUCUUCAACUAUUUGUACUUACUGAUGUGACAACUAUAGAAUGAUACACAUAAAUUUAAAGUUUAUUAUUACCAUUUUCUCUGUUACUUAAAAAAAGUCUAGACAAUCAACAAGGACAUCUAUAUCUUUAGUACAGAGUGGUGGUAGUGUAUGUAUAAAGGUUAGAGUAUCUGCCUUCCCAAAUUUGAGAUCACCAUUUUGGGAUGAAUCACCCAGAAUAGAAAGCUAGUUAUAUAACAUAUAUCCUGGAUCUUCUAAAGGAUUGAGAAGAAGAUACACAAUGGUCAGUGCUUUGAAAUUUGCUCUUGCCAUAUUCUAUUCUUUGCUUGGACAAAUGGAUUUACUAAGUUGUAGCCCAAACAUGCCUGACUUGAAUUAAAAGGACUAGAAUUCCUGGGAGUUCCUGUUGUGGCCCAGUAGAAAUGAAUCUGGCUAGUAUCCAUGAGGAUAGGGAUUCAAUCCAUGGCCUCAUUCAGUUGGUUGUAGGUACGGCAUUGCCGUGAGCUGUGGUGUAGGUCCCAGACAUGGCUUGGAUCCCAUGUUGCUGUGGCUGUGGUGUAGCCUGGCAGCUGAAGCUCUGAUUUGACCCCUAGCCCGGGAACUUCAAUGAGGAUCUAGUAAAUAUUCUCUUAAGGUUUUGUUGUAAUAAGAGCAUUAUAGCAGUAGGCAUAAUAAGAUUAAUUUAAACUGAUGAAAUUAAGAAAGCAAAUUUCCUUCCUUUCCUAUGAGCUAAUUGUCUUUACAUUAUAGAAACAGCUAGACUACCCACUCUAGUUUCCAUCACUCUAAUUUUUUGUCUAUUUUAUUUUAUCUUAUAGCUAUGUACUUUUGGAAGCUCUUUUAAAUCUUUUUGGUUUCUGGAAAAGAUACAUAAAUCAGUGAAUUACUGGGUAGGUAAAUUGACUAAGUAGAGUCAAUGUUUCUUAAUUCUGGUGUGGAUUAAGAAAUUUGGUCUAUAAUGGAGGAAUUAUCUUUAAUGGCCUGCCUUCUUAAUAGAGGAUUGCUUCUAGAUUAAAUGCAGCAGGCAAAAUUAUUUCAGAUUAUAUCUUAAAGGGUGGGUGACCCUGGGAUGAAGAUACAUGAAGCAAUCUUUGCUUACUAGGUAAGUCAUUUAGAAAACAAUUUUGUAAAUUUAGCUUAUAAUAUAUGAUAUUGGUCUUCUCUAUAAGUAUUUUCAAAUCUCAGAUUGAAAAAUCAUGGGAAUUUAUAGUAUUUUUCAAAUUAUAAAAAUUAUUUCUUUAAAGAUUGUUUAUUAAUAGGCCAGAGUUUGAGUUUAUCUGUGAAUUUGGUAGUAGUAGUAGUAGUGACGAACGAGCAGGUGAUGGAAACAUAUAUUUUUCCCUUCCUCUCUUUGGAUAUGUGUGUGGAAUAUUUUUGUCUUCCAAUCAGAUUGUUCAUUAUGCUCCCUUUGGAAGUGUGUAUUGUUUGGCCUUCCAGCCUUACAUGCUCAUUCAAAGGCAUUCCAAGUCAUUAUGCUGGACUUCAGCCUUGUUCAGUAAAAAGGCCAUUUCCUCCAUCAGCUGUCCACUUGGACAUACAUUCUUUUUACUCUCAAAAAGACUUUAUGUGCAUUCAGAGAAUAUUAGAUGGAUUUGUCAAAUUCCUCACAGAUAAUCAGUUUUUUAAAGUUAUAAUUUGAGCUAUGACCUCUCAAACUGUGAAUUAUAAGGUUUGACAUUUUGGUUCACUGUUUGACACAUCAGCCAUUAAUUAUAGUUUUUAAAGGACAUUUUAUUUCGGUUAGAAUUUAUGUUAUGAAAAUAGUUUAAGUAUUUUUCCUUUAACUUUCAGGAAUAAAUGUACAUAUGUAAUAUGUACAUUCAGGUAUAGCAAAUAGCUAGCUUGCGUAUGCAUCCUAUAUUCAAAUAUAUUUAUACAUGUUUGUCUAUUAUGCCUGUUAUACAUAUCCAUAGAGAUUUUUAUAUAAUAACCUAUGAAUUAACACUAAGAUCAUACUUCAGUAACUCUGGUGUCAGAAUGAGACUGACUUUUAAAAUAAUGUUUAUCGGGGUGAAAAGAACUUUAUUAUUAUUUGAAUCUAGGUUUUAUUCCCUUUUUUCAUUGAACAGGGAUAUAGAAGUAGGUGCCUAUGAAUGCCCUGUCUGACAGUAAUUUGAAAGUCUUUAAGAGGGAACAAAGAAAAUGAUGAGGGAGAAUAUAAACUGGUCAAGUGGUGUUUGCAUACUCAAGUUUCUGAGAUGGAGUGUACAUAGCAGAGAGGUCACUUUGAGUAAGGGGAGAAAAACAUCCAGAUGUGUGAACACUUUGCUGAUAUCCUUAGUAUUUGAAAUGGGGGAAUUUAGUGACUUUGUAUUGAAUAAAAAGAAGAUAUACAUAUAUCUGAAAAUAGUUCAGCAUACAGUUUUCUGUUGCUAUUUAAUAAAAAUCUAAUAAUAUUUUAGAUGAUUUCUUCACUUCUAAGGCAGUUUUUCUCAUUUUGUAAUAAAUCAUGUUCUUUGUUGCUAAGUUCAUAAAAUUAAAUCUAAAAUAUUAUGGAGAGAUAAUUAUUUAAAAACAUCUGAAUAUUUUUCUUAAAGAUAUAUAACCAUCCUUUUCUAUUUCAAAUAUUUUAGAAAUGGUUAAUUUGGUUUUGUACAAAUUCUUCUCUUGGCUAAAGUUAGCAUGUUUUUCACAUGAAAAGUUAAUAAUUUAGAUGACAACAUUGAAAAUAAAGACCUCUUAAGGAAAGUGACCCAUGUAGGUUCCAUAGUACUUGCUCCUAAAAUUUUUUAAUACAUAUAUAUUUCCUUUGUGUUUGAGUGUACUAUUUUAAGAUUUAAAAAAAAAAAAAAGAAAGAAAGAAAGAAAGAAAGA